AUUGCCGUCGCCAGCUUCGGUCCCGGCUCAACGGUCGGGAUAAUAGGGAACACCGGUGCGCCGCGGGUCGACAGGCCCGGGCCAGGCCGGGGCUGCCCCCGCAACUGUAAGCGGUGAGCAAAGGCCGAUGACGCCACUGGGGUUCCCCCGGGAAGGCCGGCCCGAGCCACGAUCCGCGAGCCAGGAGACCUGCCGAGGCCUUCACCCAUUU
RNAcentral lists this non-coding RNA (211 nucleotides) under Paracoccus sphaerophysae. The record is from RNAcentral. Lineage: Bacteria; Pseudomonadati; Pseudomonadota; Alphaproteobacteria; Rhodobacterales; Paracoccaceae.